CCUUGCUGGCUACGGAACCCAUCGCUGGAACAGCUCUGACCAAGCUCCAAUACAGAUUUCAGCAUGUCAGGACCUUCUUUUGGAAUUCAUUGGCGGUCACUGCUGUAGUCCCAUAUUGACCUGAAUGAAGAGAGGCUGGCCUACAGUGUAAACCCCAGAAGACGAGAAAAGGAGACCCAAGGAGAAGCACCUGCUGCAGAGCUCCAGGUCCUACUCCAGGGAUGUGCGAUGCCCAGGUGCUGUACAGUCCCUGCCCUCUUCAGUUGUGCCAAAUGGUAGUUUUGUGUGCUGGCUAUUUCAAUGUCCUCCGCCAGCCUACGGGAGGAAAAACAAAGCUAACAGAAGGGUACACACACACAGACACACACACACACACACACACACAGAUAUAUACACACAUAAAUAAAAAUAUAUAAAUAAAUAGUCCAUAAAUAUAAGAAAAAACACAUGGACUUAGUCCCAUUUCUGGCACAAAGCUCCCCAAACCCUUCGAAUUUCCUCAGUGAUAAAAGAAAUAGAUGGAUCUUUCAUUUUAUUU
Manis javanica (Malayan pangolin) is the source of this 538-nucleotide non-coding RNA. Lineage: Eukaryota; Metazoa; Chordata; Mammalia; Pholidota; Manidae. The record is from RefSeq and is a predicted model, not a curated record.